UGCAUACGCUUUUCCGCAUUCUUCCUCAUGGCCAAAAGCAAAUAUUUAUUCCCCGCAUAUUUUUCCUUUUCUUUCAGGCUCCAGUUUUGAAACCUGUGGAUUCCCCGGCCAAACAUUGCUUGACUGACAUGAAGUGGGUCGGUUUGUUUCCCUCUGUUUUCUCGAGGCUGCUUCUGAAAAUCGUGCUGCAGCGGAGCGGGGGGAAAGGGGGGAAGAAGUGGGAAGAGAAGGCAGCUCUAUGGGGCAGCGCUGUUUUACAUACGGGUUAGACACGGCUAGAGGCCAAGGUCAAGUUGAAAGUUGCAGUCUAGCCAAUGUGAGAACUGUCAUUCACAGCCCGAAGAUCCGUCUGAUUUGUUAAAAAGCGGGUAGCCAUGAGAACACUAAUCUCUCCAGCUCGCCCCCCUCC
Nestor notabilis (Kea) is the source of this 409-nucleotide non-coding RNA. Lineage: Eukaryota; Metazoa; Chordata; Aves; Psittaciformes; Psittacidae. The record is from Rfam.